CCUACGGGAGGCAGCAGUAAGGAAUAUUGGACAAUGCUCGCAAGAGUGAUCCAGCCAUGCCGCGUGCAGGAAGACGGCCCUAUGGGUUGUAAACUGCUUUUGAACUAGAGAAAACCCUUCUACGUGUAGAAGGCUGAUAGUAUAGUUAGAAUAAGCAUCGGCUAACUUCGUGCCAGCAGCCGCGGUAAGACGAAGGAUGCAAGCGUUAUCCGGAUUCAUUGGGUUUAAAGGGAGCGUAGGUGGACUGAUAAGUCAGUGGUGAAAUCUCUCGGCUUAACCGAGAAAUUGCCAUUGAUACUGUUGGUCUUGAGUACAGUUGCUGUGGGCGGAAUAUGACAUGUAGUGGUGAAAUACAUAGAGAUGUCAUAGAACACCGAUUGCGAAGGCAGCUCACAAAGCUGUAACUGACACUGAGGCUCGAAAGUGCGGGGAGUCAAACAGGAUUAGAUACCCUGGUAGUCCGCACUGUAAACGAUGAUUACUCGCUGCUGGGAGGUAACUUUCAGUGGCUUAGCGAAAGCGAUAGUAAUCCACGNGGNGACGCGCGACGAGACGACGAGAGUAGUUAGGNGNGNGGAGNGCGACGACGACGACGAGGAGGGAGGAG
Molecule: ribosomal RNA, 607 nt
Filed under: uncultured bacterium
Lineage: Bacteria
Description: bacterial SSU rRNA
Rfam family: Bacterial small subunit ribosomal RNA (bases 1-535)
Source: RNAcentral